This 253-nucleotide ribosomal RNA is filed under the name uncultured bacterium. Its description in RNAcentral is "partial 16S ribosomal RNA". It matches the Rfam family "Bacterial small subunit ribosomal RNA", at positions 524 to 776 of the family's 1533-position model. The record is from RNAcentral.
UACGUAGGGUGCAAGCGUUAAUCGGAAUUACUGGGCGUAAAGCGUGCGCAGGCGGUUUUUUAAGUCAGAUGUGAAAGCCCCGGGCUCAACCUGGGAAUUGCAUUUGAAACUGGGGAACUAGAGUGUGUGAGAGGGGGGUAGAAUUCCAAGUGUAGCGGUGAAAUGCGUAGAGAUUUGGAGGAAUACCAGUGGCGAAGGCGGCCCCCUGGGUCAAGAUUGACGCUCAUGCACGAAAGCGUGGGGAGCAAACAGG